Molecule: ribosomal RNA, 459 nt
Filed under: uncultured bacterium
Lineage: Bacteria
Description: partial 16S ribosomal RNA
Rfam family: Bacterial small subunit ribosomal RNA
Source: RNAcentral
CCUACGGGCGGCAGCAGUGAGGAAUAUUGGUCAAUGGGCUUACGCCUGAACCAGCCAAGUCGCGUGAGGGAAGACUGCCCUAUGGGUUGUAAACCUCUUUUGUCAGGGAGCAAUUGGCGCUACGUGUAGCGUUAUCGAGAGUACCUGAAGAAAAAGCAUCGGCUAACUCCGUGCCAGCAGCCGCGGUAAUACGGAGGAUGCGAGCGUUAUCCGGAUUGAUUGGGGUUAAAGGGUGCGUAGGCGGAAUGCCAAGUCAGCGGUAAAAUCGCGGGGCUCAACCUCGCUCCGCCGUUGAAACUGGCGUUCUUGAGUGGGCGAGAAGUAUGCGGAAUGCGUGGUGUAGCGGUGAAAUGCAUAGAUAUCACGCAGAACUCCGAUUGCGAGGCAGCAUACCGGCGCCCAACUGACGCUGAAGCACGAAAGCGUGGGUAUCGAACAGGAUUAGAUACCCCAGUAGUC